RNAcentral lists this ribosomal RNA (478 nucleotides) under uncultured bacterium. RNAcentral describes it as "partial 16S ribosomal RNA". It matches the Rfam family "Bacterial small subunit ribosomal RNA", at positions 28 to 507 of the family's 1533-position model. The record is from RNAcentral.
GAUGAACGCUGGCGGCGUGCUUAGCACAUGCAAGUCGAACGGGAAACCUUUUAUUGAAGCUUCGGCAGAUUUAGCUGGUUUCUAGUGGCGGACGGGUGAGUAACGCGUGGGUAACCUGCCUUAUACAGGGGGAUAACAACCAGAAAUGGUUGCUAAUACCGCAUAAGCGCACAGGACCGCAUGGUCCGGUGUGAAAAACUCCGGUGGUAUAAGAUGGACCCGCGUUGGAUUAGCUAGUUGGCAGGGUAACGGCCUACCAAGGCGACGAUCCAUAGCCGGCCUGAGAGGGUGAACGGCCACAUUGGGACUGAGACACGGCCCAGACUCCUACGGGAGGCAGCAGUGGGGAAUAUUGCACAAUGGGGGAAACCCUGAUGCAGCGACGCCGCGUGAAGGAAGAAGUAUCUCGGGAUGUAAACUUCUAUCAGCAGGGAAGAUAGUGACGGUACCUGACGAAGAAGCCCCGGCUAACUACGUG